CAAGCCUCCAGUCUCAAAUUAUCCAGGAUAUCCUAAACCUGAGGAAGGAAUACUUGACAGUUUGGAUGUUUGGGUCAUUGCUGUGAUUGUUAUUGCCAUAGUUGUUGGAGUUGCAGUAAUUUGUGUUGUCCCGUACAGAUAUCUUCAAAGGAGGAAGAAGAAAGGCACAUACCUAACUGAUGAGACCCACAGAGAAGUAAAAUUUACUUCUCUCUGAGAAGGAGAGAUGAGAGAAAGGUUUGCUUUUAUCAUUAAAAGGAAAGCAGAUGGUGGAGCUGAAUAUGCCACUUACCAGACUAAAUCAACCACUCCAGCAGAGCAGAGAGGCUGAAUAGAUUCCACAACCUGGUUUGCCAGUUCAUCUUUUGACUCUAUUAAAAUCUUCAAUAGUUGUUAUUCUGUAGUUUCACUCUCAUGAGUGCAACUGUGGCUUAGCUAAUAUUGCAAUGUGGCUUGAAUGUAGGUAGCAUCCUUUGAUGCUUCUUUGAAACUUGUAUGAAUUUGGGUAUGAACAGAUUGCCUGCUUUCCCUUAAAUAACACUUAGAUUUAUUGGACCAGUCAGCACAGCAUGCCUGGUUGUAUUAAAGCAGGGAUAUGCUGUAUUUUAUAAAAUUGGCAAAAUUAGAGAAAUAUAGUUCACAAUGAAAUUAUAUUUUCUUUGUAAAGAAAGUGGCUUGAAAUCUUUUUUGUUCAAAGAUUAAUGCCAACUCUUAAGAUUAUUCUUUCACCAACUAUAGAAUGUAUUUUAUAUAUCGUUCAUUGUAAAAAGCCCUUAAAAAUAUGUGUAUACUACUUUGGCUCUUGUGCAUAAAAACAAGAACACUGAAAAUUGGGAAUAUGCACAAACUUGGCUUCUUUAACCAAGAAUAUUAUUGGAAAAUUCUCUAAAAGUUAAUAGGGUAAAUUCUCUAUUUUUUGUAAUGUGUUCGGUGAUUUCAGAAAGCUAGAAAGUGUAUGUGUGGCAUUUGUUUUCACUUUUUAAAACAUCCCUAACUGAUCGAAUAUAUCAGUAAUUUCAGAAUCAGAUGCAUCCUUUCAUAAGAAGUGAGAGGACUCUGACAGCCAUAACAGGAGUGCCACUUCAUGGUGCGAAGUGAACACUGUAGUCUUGUUGUUUUCCCAAAGAGAACUCCGUAUGUUCUCUUAGGUUGAGUAACCCACUCUGAAUUCUGGUUACAUGUGUUUUUCUCUCCCUCCUUAAAUAAAGAGAGGGGUUAAACAUGCCCUCUAAAAGUAGGUGGUUUUGAAGAGAAUAAAUUCAUCAGAUAACCUCAAGUCACAUGAGAAUCUUAGUCCAUUUACAUUGCCUUGGCUAGUAAAAGCCAUCUAUGUAUAUGUCUUACCUCAUCUCCUAAAAGGCAGAGUACAAAGUAAGCCAUGUAUCUCAGGAAGGUAACUUCAUUUUGUCUAUUUGCUGUUGAUUGUACCAAGGGAUGGAAGAAGUAAAUAUAGCUCAGGUAGCACUUUAUACUCAGGCAGAUCUCAGCCCUCUACUGAGUCCCUUAGCCAAGCAGUUUCUUUCAAAGAAGCCAGCAGGCGAAAAGCAGGGACUGCCACUGCAUUUCAUAUCACACUGUUAAAAGUUGUGUUUUGAAAUUUUAUGUUUAGUUGCACAAAUUGGGCCAAAGAAACAUUGCCUUGAGGAAGAUAUGAUUGGAAAAUCAAGAGUGUAGAAGAAUAAAUACUGUUUUACUGUCCAAAGACAUGUUUAUAGUGCUCUGUAAAUGUUCCUUUCCUUUGUAGUCUCUGGCAAGAUGCUUUAGGAAGAUAAAAGUUUGAGGAGAACAAACAGGAAUUCUGAAUUAAGCACAGAGUUGAAGUUUAUACCCGUUUCACAUGCUUUUCAAGAAUGUCGCAAUUACUAAGAAGCAGAUAAUGGUGUUUUUUAGAAACCUAAUUGAAGUAUAUUCAACCAAAUACUUUAAUGUAUAAAAUAAAUAUUAUACAAUAUACUUGUAUAGCAGUUUCUGCUUCACAUUUGAUUUUUUCAAAUUUAAUAUUUAUAUUAGAGAUCUAUAUAUGUAUAAAUAUGUAUUUUGUCAAAUUUGUUACUUAAAUAUAUAGAGACCAGUUUUCUCUGGAAGUUUGUUUAAAUGACAGAAGCGUAUAUGAAUUCAAGAAAAUUUAAGCUGCAAAAAUGUAUUUGCUAUAAAAUGAGAAGUCUCACUGAUAGAGGUUCUUUAUUGCUCAUUUUUUAAAAAAUGGACUCUUGAAAUCUGUUAAAAUAAAAUUGUACAUUUGG
Molecule: long non-coding RNA, 2243 nt
Filed under: Homo sapiens (human)
Lineage: Eukaryota; Metazoa; Chordata; Mammalia; Primates; Hominidae
Description: long non-coding RNA NONHSAT150398.1
Source: RNAcentral